CAGUCAGAGAAAAACAUGACCUUGUAAAGCAAUUGUUUGAGAGCUGAUCAAAGCAUAUGACCUUAAAUAUAGCCAAAUCCGAAAUAGGAAGUAUCAGCUUUGCAUGGCGAAAAUAUCUUACUGAAUUGAAAACUUUUUAUCUUUAUAUGUCCGUCAAAAUUUUGACGGGACGUAUUAUGGUAUACAAAUGACCGGCGUCCGUCUGUCCGGUGGAAAUAUGUCGCAG
RNAcentral lists this long non-coding RNA (226 nucleotides) under Mytilus galloprovincialis (Mediterranean mussel). Lineage: Eukaryota; Metazoa; Mollusca; Bivalvia; Mytilida; Mytilidae. The record is from RNAcentral.